Molecule: ribosomal RNA, 450 nt
Filed under: uncultured bacterium
Lineage: Bacteria
Description: partial 16S ribosomal RNA
Rfam family: Bacterial small subunit ribosomal RNA
Source: RNAcentral
CCUACGGGGGGCUGCAGUAGGGAAUAUUGGACAAUGGAGGCAACUCUGAUCCAGCCAUCCCGCGUGAAGGAUUAAGGUCCUAUGGAUUGUAAACUUCUUUUCUCUGGGAAUACAAACUCCGUUUCUACGGAGCUUGCAGGUACCAGAUGAAUAAGCACCGGCUAACUCCGUGCCAGCAGCCGCGGUAAUACGGAGGGUGCAAGCGUCAUCCGGAUUCACUGGGUUUAAGGUGGCCGUGGAUGUCAGUGGUGAAAUGUCGCAGCUUAACUGCGAAACUGCCAUUGAUACUGUUUAGCUUGAAUCAAGUUGAGGUGGAUGGAAUAUUACAUGUAGCGGUGAAAUGCUUAGAUAUGUAAUAGAACACCAAUUGCGAAGGCAGUUCACUAAACUUGUAUUGACACUGAGGCUCGAAAGCGUGGGGAUCAAACAGGAUUAGAUACCCCAGUAGUC